GGCAGAGCUGGGCGGCUGGGCCUGGAGGACAGCGGCGGCGGAGACGACGAGCGGCAGAAGGAACGGCGCCGAGAGGCCGUGCGGAACGCGGGCGCCAGGAAGGGGGGAGCGCAGAGGUCUGGAGGCUCUUAGAGUAUCACGUACUUCAGCAGGAUUUUUGCCCUUGGAUUACUUAUCUAAUGGAGAUGAAGUCAAGGUUGCCGAUAAUUUUCCUGAUCCGUUUGAGAACAAUAACAACAAAAACCUUCUCUCUUCAGUAAUUGAGUUGACUCUUCACCACACUGAAACCAUUAGGAAAAAUCCUUGUGGUUAACAGCAGAGGCUUCAGAGUGUAACCUGUACUCGGGCCUAGAAAUUAUUUUAAAUGGCGACUGAUACGUCUCAAGGUGAACUCGUCCAUCCUAAGGCACUCCCACUUAUAGUAGGAGCUCAGCUGAUCCACGCGGACAAGUUAGGUGAGAAGGUAGAAGAUAGCACCAUGCCGAUUCGUCGAACUGUGAAUUCUACGCGGGAAGCUCCUCCCAAAAGCAAGCUUGCUGAAGGGGAGGAAGAAAAGCCAGGUAAAGUAAAGCAGUAGACAACUUAAAGUGGCAAAAGUUUCUAUUCCAGUUUGGAGUAUCCCAUUAAUUCCUUUGAACUUAAUUAAUUGUUCUUUUUUCAUGGCUGUUUUGGGGGGACAUUGAAAGAGAGAAGUGGUACC
Molecule: non-coding RNA, 700 nt
Organism: Leptonychotes weddellii (Weddell seal)
Lineage: Eukaryota; Metazoa; Chordata; Mammalia; Carnivora; Phocidae
Source: RefSeq, a predicted model, not a curated record